UGGGGAAUAUUGCACAAUGGGGGAAACCCUGAUGCAGCGACGCCGCGUGAGCGAAGAAGGUUUUCAAAUCGUAAAGCUCUGUCCUAUGGGAAGAUAAUGACGGUACCAUAGGAGGAAGCCCCGGCUAACUACGUGCCAGCAGCCGCGGUAAUACGUAGGGGGCAAGCGUUGUCCGGAAUCACCGGGCGUAAAGGGUUCGCAGGCGGAAAUGCAAGUCAGUUGUGAAAGGCAGAGGCUCAACCUCUGUAAGCAAUUGAAACUGUAUUUCUUGAGAUGUGGAGAGGCAAGUGGAAUUCCUAGUGUAGCGGUGAAAUGCGUAGAUAUUAGGAAGAAUACCGGUGGCGAAGGCGACUUGCUGGACACAAACUGACGCUGAGGAACGAAAGCGUGGGUAGCAAACAGG
This 403-nucleotide ribosomal RNA is filed under the name Fusobacteriota bacterium. RNAcentral's name for it is "Fusobacteria bacterium partial 16S ribosomal RNA". It matches the Rfam family "Bacterial small subunit ribosomal RNA", at positions 355 to 776 of the family's 1533-position model. The record is from RNAcentral. Lineage: Bacteria; Fusobacteriati; Fusobacteriota.